This 580-nucleotide ribosomal RNA is filed under the name uncultured Alphaproteobacteria bacterium. RNAcentral's name for it is "bacterial SSU rRNA". It matches the Rfam family "Bacterial small subunit ribosomal RNA", at positions 45 to 673 of the family's 1533-position model. Lineage: Bacteria; Pseudomonadati; Pseudomonadota; Alphaproteobacteria. The record is from RNAcentral.
GGCCUCAUACAUGCAAGUCGAGCGGUCCUUCGGGACAGCGGCGAACGGGUUAGCAACGCGUGGGAACGUGCCCUUUAGUACGGAAUAGCCAUUGGAAACGAUGAUUAAUACCGUAUACGCCCCAAGGGGGAAAGAUUUAUCGCUAAAGGAUCGGCCCGCGUUAGAUUAGGUAGUUGGUAGGGUAAUGGCCUACCAAGCCGACGAUCUAUAGCUGGUUUGAGAGGAUGAUCAGCAACACUGGGACUGAGACACGGCCCAGACUUCUACGGAAGGCAGCAGUAGGGAAUCUUGGACAAUGGGCGAAAGCCUGAUCCAGCCAUGCCGCGUGAGUGAUGAAGGCCCUAGGGUUGUAAAGCUCUUUCGCCAGGGAAGAUAAUGACGGUACCUGGUAAAGAAACCCCGGCUAACUCCGUGCCAGCAGCCGCGGUAAUACGGAGGGGGUUAGCGUUGUUCGGAAUUACUGGGCGUAAAGCGCACGUAGGCGGAUUAAUAAGUCAGGGGUGAAAUCCCGAGGCUCAACCUCGGAACUGCCUUUGAUACUGUUAGUCUUGAGUUCGAGAGAGGUGAGUGGAAUUCCGAG